UGGUUUUAUAAGUCUUAUUUCAAAGACUCCGGCUCAACCGGAGGCAGGGGUAGGAUACUGUAAGACUAGAGUGAUAUCGGGGUUACUGGAAUUUUUAGUGUAGGGGUAAAAUCCGUGGAUACUAAAAAGAACACCAAGCGCGAAGGCGGGUAACCAGGUAUUUACUGACACUCAGAGACGAAAGCUAGGGUAGCCAAUCAGAUUAGAGACCUGAGUAGUCCUAGCCGUAAACUAUGUAUGUUAAUUCUCUGCAAUUUAUUGUGGGGGAUGUAAGCUAACGCGUUAAACAUACCGCCUGGGGAGUAUAGCCGCAAGGCCGAAACUCAAACGAAUUGGCGGGGAGGCGCACAACCAGUGGAGCAUGUGGUUCAAUCCGAUACAAAGCGAUGAACCUUACCUGGGUUUGACAUUUAUCUGCAAACCCCCAGAAACGGGGGAAUCCUUAGAGGGUGAUAAACAGCUGUUGCAUGGCUGUCGUCAGCUCGUGACGUGAGUUGUUCUCUUAAGUGAGGUAACGAGCGCAACCCCCAUCCGGUGUUAUUGUGUCACCGGAGACUGCCUAGCAUUAUUUUGUUAGGAGGAAGGAGGGGACGGCGUCAAGUCAGCAUGAUGCUUAUGUCCAGGGCUACACACAUCCUACAAUGGGGAGGACAAUGGGUCGCGAAACCGCGAGGUGGAGCCAAUCCCACAAACCUUUCCUCAGUUGGGAUUGCAGGCUGAAACUCGCCUGCAUGAA
This 736-nucleotide ribosomal RNA is filed under the name uncultured Microgenomates group bacterium. RNAcentral's name for it is "bacterial SSU rRNA". It matches the Rfam family "Bacterial small subunit ribosomal RNA", at positions 576 to 1324 of the family's 1533-position model. The record is from RNAcentral.